This 287-nucleotide long non-coding RNA is filed under the name Elaeis guineensis (African oil palm). RNAcentral describes it as "long non-coding RNA (EGUI_LNC071186)". The record is from RNAcentral. Lineage: Eukaryota; Viridiplantae; Streptophyta; Magnoliopsida; Arecales; Arecaceae.
UUGAAAAGAGUUUUAAUGAUAUUGUGAUAGAGAUCACAAUAUAUCUCACUAUCAGAUAGAAUAGAACCUAUGGGAUCACAUACAAAAGAAAUUUUUGACUGAUCAGAUGAUUAAAUUAUGAUUAUGAAUCAUAACAGGAUUUGAUUAUCAAUUUGAUUGAUAAUUGAUCCAAUGCAAAUAUUGCAUUAUGUAACUUACUAAAGAGUUAGUGAGUUGUAAGAGGAUUAAUUAGUAAUAAGAUUACCAAUUAGCUCAAUUUGAUUGAGCAAUGGGGCUUGCAUCAAGUC